GCCGUAGCCCGUGGACUGAAAAGAGAAGACGACUUGUUCCUUCCUCCUCGUCUCUCUCUCCAGUUCUCCUCUGUCUCAGGCGGCAGCGGUGGUCGGCGACGGCGGCUGCGUGCUUCUCUCUCACCACCUGGCGGAGGCGACCCCCUAGGUGGAGUGGAACGGCGCCCCCAGCUCGAAGACGACCCGGAGGUGACCUGCAGCGACCUCCCUCGACUACUCGUCUCCGCCGUCCCUCUCCUCCUCUCAACGGCCGCGUGAUCGGAGCGUAGCAGGGCGAGAGCAAGGAGGAGGAGGGAGUGACGGAAAAAGGGGGUGGAUGCUCCUGAACUAACUUCUGUUUUCUUUCCCAGUGGCAUCGAUCCUGGCUCGAUUUGUUGGAAUGUUGCGAUUUAUUAGUCGUCAGGGACCAGGAUUUUGCUUGGUUUCUCUGGAUGAUUGGUCCUGCUUGGUUUGGUUUCGGCACGUUCCCGGCGUCAUCAAACAACUAACAACAGCAAGCCAAGUAAUUUGGUGGUAACCUUGUAUGCUGCAUAGAUCAGGAGCUAAUAGUAUCCCAGCAAAUGCGGUUUUGUGCGUGACUGUAAUAUGCACUGUGUCUGCCCAUUCCUCUAUGUCACUCGUGUAAUGAUGUAUGUGUAUCCGCUUUGCCGGACGGGACGUCAAAUCGCCCUUGCUGUAAAGAAAAGUAGUGACCUGUGCAACACAUGGCAAUGGACCUCUGAAUAGAUAUAUGUGAAUAAACAGUACUAGGACGAUUGGUUAUACUCCUUCCGAUUUUAAA
Hordeum vulgare subsp. vulgare (domesticated barley) is the source of this 781-nucleotide long non-coding RNA. RefSeq lists it as uncharacterized. Lineage: Eukaryota; Viridiplantae; Streptophyta; Magnoliopsida; Poales; Poaceae. The record is from RefSeq and is a predicted model, not a curated record. The transcript has 2 exons.